UGGGGAAUAUUGGACAAUGGGCGCAAGCCUGAUCCAGCCAUGCCGCGUGAGUGAUGAAGGCCCUAGGGUUGUAAAGCUCUUUCACCGGUGAAGAUAAUGACGGUAACCGGAGAAGAAGCCCCGGCUAACUUCGUGCCAGCAGCCGCGGUAAUACGUAGGGGGCUAGCGUUAUCCGGAUUUACUGGGCGUAAAGGGUGCGUAGGUGGUCUUUCAAGUCGGUGGUUAAAGGCUACGGCUCAACCGUAGUUAGCCUCCGAAACUGGAAGACUUGAGUGCAGGAGAGGAAAGUGGAAUUCCCAGUGUAGCGGUGAAAUGCGUAGAUAUUGGGAGGAACACCAGUAGCGAAGGCGGCUUUCUGGACUGCAACUGACACUGAGGCACGAAAGCGUGGGUAGCAAACAGG
RNAcentral lists this ribosomal RNA (403 nucleotides) under Verrucomicrobiota bacterium. RNAcentral's name for it is "Verrucomicrobia bacterium partial 16S ribosomal RNA". It matches the Rfam family "Bacterial small subunit ribosomal RNA", at positions 355 to 776 of the family's 1533-position model. Lineage: Bacteria; Pseudomonadati; Verrucomicrobiota. The record is from RNAcentral.